RNAcentral lists this long non-coding RNA (585 nucleotides) under Nicotiana benthamiana. RNAcentral's name for it is "long non-coding RNA (NBEN_LNC011788)". Lineage: Eukaryota; Viridiplantae; Streptophyta; Magnoliopsida; Solanales; Solanaceae. The record is from RNAcentral.
CAAUAAAAACAAAAAUAAUAGAGCAUUAGUAACUCCCGCAGAAAUAGCGUAAAUAAUUAUCUAAAAAUAAGAAACAUAAAUACAAUCGCAUGCAAUAAUAUCAUACAGUAACUACCAUAACUACCAACCAUAGGGGGGACAUAAGCUAAAACACAAAUCAUCUAUGGGUAACCCUGCUGACCCACACCCAACCCCGGAUGAGGCGUACGAAAAACUCUAGGAGAACAGCAGUAAAACAAAACAAAGACAAAAACAAAUACAAUAAAAACAAAAAUAAUAGAGCAUUAGUAACUCCCGCAGAAAUAGCGUAAAUAAUUAUCUAAAAAUAAGAAACAUAAAUACAAUCGCAUGCAAUAAUAUCAUACAGUAACUACCAUAACUACCAACCAUAGGGGGGACAUAAGCUAAAACACAAAUCAUCUAUGGGUAACACUGCUGACCCAUCCCCAACCCCGGAUGAGGCGUACGAAAAACUCUAGGAGCCCCUAACUUACAACCCUGAUUCUAGACCUCCAGACUCUCCUAUCAAGGGUCAUGUCCUCGGAAACCUGCAUUCUAGUCAUGUCCUGCCUAAUCACCUCUCCU